RNAcentral lists this signal recognition particle RNA (266 nucleotides) under Caminicella sporogenes. RNAcentral describes it as "signal recognition particle sRNA large type". It matches the Rfam family "Bacterial large signal recognition particle RNA". Rfam says of the family: The signal recognition particle (SRP) is a universally conserved ribonucleoprotein involved in the co-translational targeting of proteins to membranes. Archaeal SRP consists of a 7S RNA and homologues of the eukaryotic SRP19 and SRP54 proteins. RNAcentral also lists the same sequence under 1 other name. The record is from RNAcentral. Lineage: Bacteria; Bacillati; Bacillota; Clostridia; Peptostreptococcales; Caminicellaceae.
UCGUGCUAGAUGGGGAGGUAGCGGUGCCCUGUAACCUGCAAUCCGCUAUAGCAGGGUCGAAGUCCCAUUUGAGGCAUGAUACUUGUGGAGUCUGCCCUGAAUAAGUGGCGAGGAUAAUUGGGUCCUGCGCAACGGGAACUUAUGAACCCCGCCAGGUCCGGAAGGAAGCAACGGUAAGUAAGUACUCCCGUGUGCCGUAGGGUAGCCUGAUUUGAGUUAACUGUUCAGGUUACGUCUGUGGUAUCAUGUCGAGAAUGGGUGCACGA